GGAAUAUUGGACAAUGGCCGCAAGGCUGAUCCAGCCAUCCAGCGUGCAGGAAGACGGCCUUCUGGGUUGUAAACUGCUUUUGUCAGGGGAUAAAAUUUCCUUGCGAGGAAAAUUGAAGGUACCUGGCGAAUAAGCCACGGCUAACUACGUGCCAGCAGCCGCGGUAAUACGUAGGUGGCAAGCGUUGUCCGGAUUUAUUGGGUUUAAAGGGUGCGUAGGCGGCCUAUUAAGUCAGUGCUGAAAGAUUCCGGCUUAACCGGGAGGGUGGCAUUGAUACUGAUGGGCUAGAGUACAGAUGAGGUAGGCGGAAUUGACGGUGUAGCGGUGAAAUGCUUAGAUAUCGUCAAGAACACCUAUAGCGAAGGCAGCUUACUAGGCUGUAACUGACGCUGAGGCACGAAAGUGUGGGGAUCAAAC
RNAcentral lists this ribosomal RNA (417 nucleotides) under uncultured bacterium. RNAcentral's name for it is "bacterial SSU rRNA". It matches the Rfam family "Bacterial small subunit ribosomal RNA", at positions 358 to 773 of the family's 1533-position model. The record is from RNAcentral.